AUAUCAUAAAAUUUCAUAUAUAGUUUCUUAGUAUAGUCAUCUACACUUAUAGAAAUUUUGAGCCAAAAAUUCAUCCAAAAAUUCAAGAUAUGUUCCAAACCAAAAUCUCUAUGAAAAAAACUCACUUACAAACUCUAGUUUUCAAGCACCGACUUCCAACAACUCUUUCUCCUUCAUUCCAAAUUAGAAUUUAUCAAUUCUUUUGCAUAAAAUGUAGUUCUUCAAGUCAACUUUUAAACAUCACUUUUUGAUCUCCAAAAGCUCUCACUCAAUUCCUUGUAUUUACAAAAAUAGU
RNAcentral lists this long non-coding RNA (295 nucleotides) under Physcomitrium patens. RNAcentral's name for it is "long non-coding RNA (PPAT_LNC000236)". Lineage: Eukaryota; Viridiplantae; Streptophyta; Bryopsida; Funariales; Funariaceae. The record is from RNAcentral.